Molecule: long non-coding RNA, 264 nt
Filed under: Rattus norvegicus (Norway rat)
Lineage: Eukaryota; Metazoa; Chordata; Mammalia; Rodentia; Muridae
Description: long non-coding RNA NONRATT004927
Source: RNAcentral
AGGGCAUCCUAAGGAGGUUGAGUGAUCGCAAACCCCACUAUGACCGCAGGGCAUCAGAGAUGGAUUGGCAGAAUUCAAGGCGAUAUAUCAGAAACACAACACGAUAUCUUCUCUUCCAAGAAGAAUAGGUUACUCACCGUGGAAAAGAUACCGAGAAGACCCUAAAAUUUAUUGGCUCUCAGGAUCUUAAGACACCGUGGAAUGGCUGCAUUCUCUGUCUUAGGAUGUUACAAUAAAGCUUGGCACAAAAACAGGGCAGGCAAA